AGUACGUAAACUCUUACGUAUUAUCCGUUACGUUAGGUACGUUCCUUUCGUACGUUCCGCUGGUAAGAAACUGUACGUACGCUAAAAGAAGGAAAAUAUAAGAAAAAAAAUGCGCAAUAGCAUUCGAUUCUAUAUUCGAAAGUCUACAAAAUCUUCAGUUAAAACAAAAACAAAGUAAAAUCAAAAUGUCUUUGUAUAAGGAGUUUAUAAAUACCUUAAAUAUAUUAAUUUUCGCGCGUAGGAAAUUUCGCGAUUUGCGAAUUUUUUUGAAAAUAGAUUUUUCGCGAGUAUUAAAUUUCGUGAAUUGACAAAUUUAACCUAUUUCGCGUGUACAUAAUUUCGCGAUUUUUUAUUUUUGAUAUUUCUAAGAAAGACGAAAAAACACAAAUAAUUGGAGCAGAUGUGUAACUUUAUGUAAAUAUUCUUAAUAUUUUCUCUGGGUAUAUGAUUAAAUCACUAAAAUACAUCUUCGAAAAUAUUUCUAUGUUCUUCAUAUUCUUCUUCCCGUUCGCUGUCAACAUCACUGUCUUCAAUGUAGUGAGUCAAGCCAUCUGCUAACUGAUCUUUAUUGUUUGUGAUCGUUUCACUAAUAUCAAAUUAUCCUUCAUUACGAACCAAUGGGUCAAGCUCAUGCAAAGGAUCAAGAGCUUCUAGCUACCCAUUUUAAUUCCAUCAGUGAUACCAGCCCUUUCCCAACCUUUAAAGAUAACUUCUUUUCCUGAUGAUGAUGUCAUUUCCUUAUACAACUUAAUAAUCCAUUUCGCUUAAAGAGGUUUUAGUAUCGAUAAUUGCAAAGGUACUUUAAUACUUCCUAUCUUUGCCACUGUUAACACCAUCGGUAAUCUCAUUCGUAAACCAUUCAGUGAACAGCUUCUUUAAGUAAGCUUUGGCGUACCCGUUUACGGUCAGAUCGAGAGGGUGAAACAAAUUGGUCAUAUUGGCUGGUACUUUUGUGAAAAAUAUAUGUUUUUUUUUUAGAAGAUUCUGAACAGCAUCAGUUGUUUGACCUUUGAAAACAUUCCUGACUACCAAACCAGAAUGAUUCGCUGCUAAGCCGAGUUUCUUCCUUUCGGUUUGAAAAUACGGGAUGACGUACCAAAGUGCGGGGAUAUCAAAUCAUUUUUCAACCGAAGUCACCAUACAGUGAAAGAAAAUAAUUCAGAGCAUGCAACAUUUACAAAGGCUUGACAAUUAUGUAAAGCCAAGGAAUUUGAGAACAAAUGUACAUGCCUCACAGAUCGAAACAGACGUUGAAUCAAACAAAGAAAACGAAAGCGAUGAAAUGCCAGAGGGGAAAUUGAAUUUACGACUACAAUUGCAACCAUCGUCAAACCAAAGAUGUAUCAAAGCCUCCAAGCAACGGAAAAAGAAGAGCCAGCAAGGGUUGUACAAAAGUAGAAGAAGAGGUGGAGGUCCUUAGGUCUAUUGCUGUAGCUACGACACAGAAUGAAUACGACUUCUUUGGUGAUCAUGUGGCGAGUAAGCUACGAAAAUUAGGGAGGAUUUUAAACGAGGAUUCAAUGGUCAUGUUUACGGAGCAGCUAUUUCUUCCAAAUCAACCGUCGUUACUUCAUCCACUACACAAGAACCUGGAGCUUCUUGCAGUGUUGAUUCGAACCUGAUUGUGCAACUUGAGGUUUCUGACAAGGCUGGUAUUGACACACACAAAAACAAUUUGACGUCCUCCAAGAGCUGAAACACACUUACACCAAAUCACUAUAUCAUAGUGUGGAUAGACUGCUGUGAGAAACUCGUGAAGAUAUGGACGCAUCAAUUCAAAACCAUUUUCAGCCGAAGAUCUAUGAUCUAAAACAAAACGUGUAUAGAAUCAAAGUAAAAAAAGAUAAAAGUAAAAACGGAGGAAUUUCGUAAGUGAUAACAGCUUUAGUUUCGGUGAGCAGACUAUAGAUUUUACGUGAAAAAAAGUAAACUAUCCUAAAUUCUACCCUCUUUCUAAAAAAACAACGAUUUUUGCAGAAUAGACAGUAUAUUGAACUGAUUUACCAUCCACCUGUUUCUCAGAAAUGUAUGUGUGAGCGCUUGUGAUUUUAAGGAUUGACGAUAUUAUUGUACUUCUUGAUUUUAUGAUUAAAAAUAUUAAUUAAAUUUAAUUUAAAUUACUUAAAAUAUUAAAUUUCUUUUUCAGGUGCGUUACUAUAAAAUCUGUAAGACAUUUCUAUCACAAACGAUGGGAAAUCUGACUAAAUGAACAACAAAACAUAUUUUUAAAACCACGUUUAUCAUCUACGAACAGAAAUAUAAAGACAUACCAAAUAAGGUGUAAUCAAUAUCUAACACUAAUAAUUUUUUCCCUUCUCUCGGUGGAUUUAUUUCUUCCACUUUGUAUGUGUCAACUCUUUUUUUAAUCUUUGCAAGAAAUUCUUCUCUAAAGUAGAAGAAAAAGAUUAAGAGAUGACGAACUAAUUAAAGUCUUCUAAAUUGAAAAGCUGGACCAAUUGAUGUAGUCAAUUUUGAGAUGAUUUCGAAACUGCCUUCGAAACCUCAUUGUAUGUAAAACGUUACUUCAACCGGAGAAACACAAUACUAAAAAAAAUUUUGCGAGGUCAAAAAUUCGCGAAAUCUACUUUUUUUAUAAGAAUCGUGCAAAGCUCAAUUUCAAACAUUUUUAAAAUAUUAUAAUAUUAAAUAAUGGAGAAGUAGUUGGUGGAAGUAUAUUAAUCAGGUACCGAUGUUGUAUGGCUACUUCUUCUUCUUCAAUAUCAAAAUCAUCCACAACAUUAUUGUCUGUCACCUCUUUAGGAGGCUUGAUAACAUUCGCCUGAAAAAACAGACACUUAUUUACGAGCCAGCAGAUAACUACCAACGCCGAUUUCAAGUGGGUGUUUAUCCAUUUUAACAUGUGAAAAUAAAUUAAGCAAAUAAAGAAAUCGAAAGAACGAAAAAGAAUAUGCGAGAAGGAACAAACAACCAUAUUUACCAGUGUUUCUUCUUGUGUUCCCAUCAUCAUAAUUUUCACACCUGGUUUAAUGGAAAGUGCCAGCAAUUUCACAUCAUCGCUAGGCGGUUUUCCUGAGCGAGAAAAGAGAAAAUAAUAUGUUUAACACAGCUAUUUACAGCAUGUAAUCCAUCACCUGUGUACCUUAUAGCACUAGCUUAAAAAGACAUGGACUAUACCUUAUAGCCAUGACUAAAAACGUAUUUUUGAUUUAAUUGGUGGUAUUCAUGUUCGAAGUUUUGGUCGAAAUCAAGAAACAUAGUUAAACAAUUGCAUAUCUAUACAUACAUACCUCCUAAUUUUAAACCGAGAAGUUUUUGUCGUUCUGGUUUAACAUUUGUCUGUUUAUGUAUAACUUCUUUUAAGUCUUUCACAGUAUUUAAGGAAGCCACAUCGUCUAUAACGUACUCCUUACCACUCCACUUUAUCGUGAUGUUUAUGUUGGCAGCCAUGAUGUAUCUAAAGAGAAGUUCAUGCAUGAGAACGCUGUUUUCAGACGAGGGAGGGGAUUCUCUAUAUGGACUAUUUUGGUCACUUGAGUAUUAUAUCACGCGCUGGUCUCGU
Long non-coding RNA from Hydractinia symbiolongicarpus, 3520 nucleotides. RefSeq lists it as uncharacterized. NCBI's taxonomy places the organism in Eukaryota, Metazoa, Cnidaria, Hydrozoa, Anthoathecata, Hydractiniidae. The transcript has 3 exons. The record is from RefSeq and is a predicted model, not a curated record.